This 1185-nucleotide ribosomal RNA is filed under the name Triticum aestivum (bread wheat). Its description in RNAcentral is "partial small subunit ribosomal RNA". Lineage: Eukaryota; Viridiplantae; Streptophyta; Magnoliopsida; Poales; Poaceae. The record is from RNAcentral.
AUGGCCUCGCCGACGAUGAUGCCAGAAGAUGUGGUCUUCGAGAUACUCUCACGGGUGCCGGUGAAGUCGGCCUGCCGAUUCCGGUGCGUGUCCAGCGCGUGGGACGCCCUCAUCACCGGCCCGGCGUUCGUGGCCGCGCACAGAGCCCGCACGGAGCCGCUGCUCCUCUUCCUCGCUGCCGACUCCUCCGAUGAGAACACCAGAGACCUGCGGCUGAUGGACACGGACGGCAACGUCGUAAGAGUUAUCAAGAGGCCUGGUGUCUGCACUUACGGCUACCGCCUCGACGGCACGGUCUGCAUCACCAAUGAUUAUCUUGGCGUCGAGUCGGUCAUCAACGCCAUCGAUCUUCCCACCGGGGCUGUGACGAGGAUCUCCACGCGGUGGAACAGGGAGUCGUUCUGGGAUCUCAACGUCGGCUGUGCCGCCCCGUCUCGCACGUACAAGGUCGUCUGGCUCACCAGCAAACAUUGCAAGGUUCUCACGUUACAAGAUGGCCACGCCAAGUGGAGGCACGUGCAGUCCCCUUCGGAACGAGUCACCGCCGACAGCCCUAGCAACAGCUCCGCGGUCACUGUCAACGGUGUCAUGCACUUCCUUUCCGGGUCCAUGUCAGGGCUGGUGGAAAAGGUCUCUGUACUCCGCUUUGAUCUCGAAAGUGAGGAGUGGAGGGUGUCGAUCAAGGGCCCAACGAAAUCAUGUGGAAAACCACAAAGGAAGACAAAGACAAGCUGUAUGGUCAAGCUCAAUAACACCCUAUGCAUGGUUCAACGAAGCUCGACUAACAUGUGUCUCAUAUGGCUUCUCAAUGAUCCCACCAAAGGCGUCUGGGAAAAGGAGUACAUGAUAGAAACGGAUUCACUAGUUGAACGGGUGAUUCCUUUGACGGUGAUGCAUGAUGGUGAAAAGUUGCUCUUCUAUGUGCAUAAUAGGCUGUCGGCAACAUCGACAUUGGAAGUCUGCGAUCCACUCAUACAGAAGUGCACACAGCGUCUGGUAUUUGCAAGCAACCUUUUGAGUGCUGGCCUGUGUGAAUUGCACUUGGAAAAUUUUGUCUCAACUAAGAUCUUGCCGGUGGCUGCUCCGAGUGUUUUGUAUCACCAAAGUUUUCACCAAUGGCUUCGUGGACUGAAACCUUUUUCUCUUUUUUAUAAAUGGUGGGCCUCAUCAAAUAACAACGUUUGA